RNAcentral lists this ribosomal RNA (418 nucleotides) under Electra verticillata. Its description in RNAcentral is "partial 16S ribosomal RNA". It matches the Rfam family "Bacterial large subunit ribosomal RNA", at positions 1926 to 2597 of the family's 2925-position model. Lineage: Eukaryota; Metazoa; Bryozoa; Gymnolaemata; Cheilostomatida; Electridae. The record is from RNAcentral.
AACGGCUGCAUAGCAUUAAAGUAGCGUAAUAAUUUGUUCCUUUAUUGGGGACUUGAAUGAAUGGUAGAACGGGACUUAACUGUCUCCUUUAGUUAUUCCGAAUUUUCUGUUCAAGUGAGAAAGCUUGAUUUUAGAAGGAGGACGAGAAGACCCUAUAGAAUUUUAUAAUAUUAUGAACUUUAGGUUCACACAUUAUUUUGUUGGGGCAACAAAGGGGGACAAACCCCUUAAUAUUCUUCUGUGUUAACAGUAUUUAAAUAUCCUAAAAUAGAAAAAACAAAAAUUACCUUAGGGAUAACAGCGUAAUAUCUCCCAGAGAGACCUAAUUGAAGGGAGAGUUUGCGACCUCGAUGUUGGACUAAGAUAUCUUUUAAGUGCAGCAGCUUAAAAAGUGAGCCUGUCCGGCUUUUAAAAUCUU